This 275-nucleotide small nuclear RNA is filed under the name Microcebus murinus (gray mouse lemur). RNAcentral describes it as "7SK RNA (ENSMICG00000025427.3)". It matches the Rfam family "7SK RNA". Rfam says of the family: 7SK was discovered as an abundant small nuclear RNA in the mid-70s but a possible function has only recently been suggested. Two independent studies have found that 7SK RNA binds the CDK9/cyclin T complex (known as elongation factor P-TEFb). Lineage: Eukaryota; Metazoa; Chordata; Mammalia; Primates; Cheirogaleidae. The record is from RNAcentral.
UGAAAUGAGGAUCAGCUGGGUAGAUCUAUCAUUUCAUUGAUCUCCAGAAAAGAUUAGGCUAAUCUGGCUAGCUAGGCAAAUGUUUCUCAUGUAUUCUCACUACCCCAGGUGUACCCUUCCCAAAGCAGCAAAAAUCAAUUAAAGAAAAUGACUUUUUUUCCCAGAUGCAGGAAUUUUGCUUUCAUUGGUUAAAGGCACAGCUGAGCUCCUUUGCUAGAUCUUGCAGAUUUGCACAUUCAUGGGUGCAGAAUUACUUGAUUGAUCAUGCUUUAAUC